RNAcentral lists this transfer RNA (73 nucleotides) under Thermofilum sp. ex4484_15. Its description in RNAcentral is "tRNA-Pro". It matches the Rfam family "tRNA". From Rfam's summary of the family: Transfer RNA (tRNA) molecules are approximately 80 nucleotides in length. Their secondary structure includes four short double-helical elements and three loops (D, anti-codon, and T loops). RNAcentral also lists the same sequence under 1 other name. Lineage: Archaea; Thermoproteati; Thermoproteota; Thermoprotei; Thermofilales; Thermofilaceae. The record is from RNAcentral.
GGGGCCGUCGGCUAGCUUGGUAGGCUGCCAGGCUUGGGCCCUGGUGGCCGGGGUUCAAAUCCCCGCGGCCCCA